This 837-nucleotide ribosomal RNA is filed under the name uncultured archaeon. RNAcentral's name for it is "bacterial SSU rRNA". It matches the Rfam family "Archaeal small subunit ribosomal RNA", at positions 21 to 859 of the family's 1478-position model. The record is from RNAcentral.
GGUUACUGCUAUCGGUGUUCGCCUAAGCCAUGCGAGUCAUAUGUUCGUAAGAACAUGGCGUACUGCUCAAUAACACGUGGAUAACCUGCCCUUGGGUCCGGCAUAACCCCGGGAAACUGGGGAUAAUUCCGGAUAACGCACAUAUGCUGGAAUGCUUUAUGCGUAAAAUGGAUUCGUCUGCCCAAGGAUGGGUCUGCGGCCUAUCAGGUAGUAGUGGGUGUAAUGUACCUACUAGCCUACGACGGGUACGGGUUGUGAGAGCAAGAGCCCGGAGAUGGAUUCUGAGACAUGAAUCCAGGCCCUACGGGGCGCAGCAGGCGCGAAAACUUUACAAUGCGGGAAACCGUGAUAAGGGGACACCGAGUGCCAGCAUCCUAUGCUGGCUGUCCGGGUGUGUAAAAUACACCUGUUAGCAAGGGCCGGGCAAGACCGGUGCCAGCCGCCGCGGUAACACUGGCGGCCCGAGUGGUGAUCGUGAUUAUUGGGUCUAAAGGGUCCGUAGCCGGUUUGGUCAGUCCUCCGGGAAAUCUGACAGCUUAACUGUUAGGCUUUCGGAGGAUACUGCCAGACUUGGAACCGGGAGAGGUAAGAGGUACUACAGGGGUAGGAGUGAAAUCUUGUAAUCCCAGUGGGUCCACCUGUGGCGAAGGCGUCUUACCAGAACGGGUUCGACGGUGAGGGACGAAAGCUGGGGGCACGAACCGGAUUAGAUACCCGGGUAGUCCCAGCCGUAAACGAUGCUCGCUAGGUGUCAGGCAUGGCGCGACCGUGUCUGGUGCCGCAGGGAAGCCGUGAAGCGAGCCACCUGGGAAGUACGGCCGCAAGGCUGAAACUUAA